UUUUUCUACCUGAUCCGAGGUCAACAUUUCAGAAAGUUUGGUGUUUUACGGACGUGGACGCGCCGCGCUCCCGGUGUGAGUUGUGCAAACUACUCCGCUGGAGAGGUUGCGGGGAGACCGCCAUUGUCUUUAGGGGCCGGCACCCGUGUGAGGGGUCCCGAUCCCCAACGCCGAUCCCCCGGAGGGGUUUGAGGGUUGAAAUGACGCUCGGACAGGCAUGCCCGCCAGAAUACUGGCGGGCGCAAUGUGCGUUCAAAGAUUAGAUGAUUCGGGGAAUUUGGCAAUUCACAUUACUUAUGACAUUUCGCUGCGCUCUUCAUCGAUGCCAGAACCGAGAUAUCCGUUGUUGAAAGUUUUUAUUCUUUUUGAAUUUUUGCUCAGAGCUGUAAAGAAAUACGUCCGCGAGGGGACUACGGAAAGAGUUUGGUUGGUUCCUCCGGCGGGCGCCUGGUUCCGGGGGCUGCUACUCACCCUGUGCGUGACCCCGCCGAGGCAACAGUUUGGUAACGUUCACAUUGGGUUUGGGAGUUGUAAACUCGGUAAUGAUCCCUCCGCAGGU
Molecule: unclassified non-coding RNA, 559 nt
Filed under: Trichoderma asperellum
Lineage: Eukaryota; Fungi; Ascomycota; Sordariomycetes; Hypocreales; Hypocreaceae
Description: sequence contains 18S rRNA gene, ITS1, 5.8S rRNA gene, ITS2 and 28S rRNA gene
Source: RNAcentral